This 1756-nucleotide long non-coding RNA is filed under the name Ananas comosus (pineapple). Its description in RNAcentral is "long non-coding RNA (ACOM_LNC017267)". Lineage: Eukaryota; Viridiplantae; Streptophyta; Magnoliopsida; Poales; Bromeliaceae. The record is from RNAcentral.
CGAGAUAAGCAGCGUGAUCAUAUCGUUGACCUCCUGCAUGAGACGGCGGGGCUCGAACCUGAAUCUAGCUCUGUUAAAUGCUAUUCUGUCGUAGCCAUCGUUGGUCUAGGAGGAGCUGGGAAGACGACUCUUGCACAAUAUGUCUGCGAUUAUGAAAGAGAAGCAGUAGUCAAGCAUUUCAAUGUCAUCAUGUGGGUUCAUGUAUCUAAGAGAUUGGAUGUCGAACAGUUGACAAAAAAGAUGGUGGAGUCGGCAUCUCGAGAGGAAUGCCCUCGCCUUGAUAAUCUCGACACCCUUCAAGUAAAAUUGGAAGGUUCCCUAAGAUCAAAAAAGUUUUUACUUGUAUUGGACGAUGUAUGGAGCGAGAAAGAGGUGGCCGAGUUGCAAUGGGAGCAGUUGCUCGCUCCUUUACGAGUGGGCAAUAGAGGAAGUAAGAUCUUAAUGACGACCCGCGAGCGGGGAGUAGCGGAGGCCUUACGCGCUAGAAACAUUCUAGACCUAAAGGAGCUAGAAAAAAGUGACUUCUUGUCCUUGUUCACGUACUAUGCUUUUGAUGAUGCCAAAAUUGAUGAUAUCAAGCUAUACGAGGAAUUGGAAGAGAUCGUGAGGCAGAACACACCGAAGCUGCAUGGCUCUCCCUUAGCGGCGAGAAUGGUUGGUAGCCAACUACGCAGAAGGCCGGAUGUGAACUUUUGGAAGAGGAUUUUGAGUGGAGACCUAUUGAAAGACACUAUGAAGUCUCUAUUGUGGAGUUAUCAAAACUUAGAUGCACCAUUACAAAGAUGCUUCUCAUAUUGCAGUCUAUUUUCUAAGGGUCAAGGAAUCCGGCGGGACAAGUUAAUUCGCCUGUGGAUCGCGGAGGGCUUCAUCAAGACAGUGGAUAAGAGCAAGAGAAUUGAGGAUGUAGGCCGAGAGUACUUUGAUGAUUUGCUAUCCAGCUCUUUCUUUCAACCAACAAAGGACGAUGAUCUCUACACUAUCCAUGAUCUAUUGCAUGAUCUAGCAGAGAUGGUUUCUAAAGAUCGAUAUCUUAGAGUUGAAGGAAAUCUGACAGAGGCAGUAGUACCCCAAGAGAUUCGUCAUCUUUCCCUCCGCAUCGAUACACCAAGUGAUCUUGUUGAGAAGAUAUGUAAUUUAAAAAAUCUACACACGUUGAUAAUCCUUACGAGGACUAAUGAUGAUUACAUUGAUGAUCUUCUCCACAACAUAUUUGUCAAACUAAAAAAACUAAGGGUGGUGGAUCUUGGGAAAUUCAACUUAACAGAACUACCAAAAUCAAUUGGGGACUUGAAGCAUCUGCGCUACCUUGAUCUUCAUAAGUCAUCAUUUGAAAUUUUGCCAAAAUCAGUUUCUACACUCUACCAUUUAGAGUUUUUGUCUAUGUGUGAAUGUACAUUAGGAGCAAAAAGACUAGCCAACUGGAUUAAUUUGCGGCAUUUAUAUAUCUUUCGCGUGAUUCUCAAUGUUGUUGGGAUUGGCUGCUUGAAACACCUGGAGAGCCUAAGAAAUUUUCAGGGGUAUUCAAUACAUAUUAAUGGCCUUGAGAAUGUUAAAGAAGAGGGGGAGGCCCCUGUGGAGAUAAAAGGUAUUGAGAAACUUUGUUUAGAAUGGAGUACCACCGAUAACAUUAGCAGGUCGUCGGACAUGGAUGCACAAGUACUUGAGGGUCUUCGUCCGCCUCCCCAUCUUCAGUAUCUCAAAAUCGUGGGCUAUCAGGGUUGCCUAUUGCCAAGUUGGAUGGUAGGAGACCGAUACC